RNAcentral lists this ribosomal RNA (2065 nucleotides) under Salmonella enterica. RNAcentral's name for it is "partial 23S ribosomal RNA". It matches the Rfam family "Bacterial large subunit ribosomal RNA", at positions 757 to 2802 of the family's 2925-position model. Lineage: Bacteria; Pseudomonadati; Pseudomonadota; Gammaproteobacteria; Enterobacterales; Enterobacteriaceae. The record is from RNAcentral.
UAACACUAACUGGAGGACCGAACCGACUAAUGUUGAAAAAUUAGCGGAUGACCUGUGGCUGGGGGUGAAAGGCCAAUCAAACCGGGAGAUAGCUGGUUCUCCCCGAAAGCUAUUUAGGUAGCGCCUCGUGAAUUCAUCUCCGGGGGUAGAGCACUGUUUCGGCUAGGGGGCCAUCCCGGCUUACCAACCCGAUGCAAACUGCGAAUACCGGAGAAUGUUAUCACGGGAGACACACGGCGGGUGCUAACGUCCGUCGUGAAGAGGGAAACAACCCAGACCGCCAGCUAAGGUCCCAAAGUCAUGGUUAAGUGGGAAACGAUGUGGGAAGGCCCAGACAGCCAGGAUGUUGGCUUAGAAGCAGCCAUCAUUUAAAGAAAGCGUAAUAGCUCACUGGUCGAGUCGGCCUGCGCGGAAGAUGUAACGGGGCUAAACCAUGCACCGAAGCUGCGGCAGCGACACUCAGGUGUUGUUGGGUAGGGGAGCGUUCUGUAAGCCUGUGAAGGUGUGUCGUGAGGCAUGCUGGAGGUAUCAGAAGUGCGAAUGCUGACAUAAGUAACGAUAAAGCGGGUGAAAAGCCCGCUCGCCGGAAGACCAAGGGUUCCUGUCCAACGUUAAUCGGGGCAGGGUGAGUCGACCCCUAAGGCGAGGCCGAAAGGCGUAGUCGAUGGGAAACGGGUUAAUAUUCCCGUACUUGGUGUUACUGCGAAGGGGGGACGGAGAAGGCUAUGUUGGCCGGGCGACGGUUGUCCCGGUUUAAGCGUGUAGGUGUGUGUUCCAGGUAAAUCCGGUUCACUUUAACACUGAGGCGUGAUGACGAGGCACUACGGUGCUGAAGCAACAAAUGCCCUGCUUCCAGGAAAAGCCUCUAAGCAUCAGGUAACAUCAAAUCGUACCCCAAACCGACACAGGUGGUCAGGUAGAGAAUACCAAGGCGCUUGAGAGAACUCGGGUGAAGGAACUAGGCAAAAUGGUGCCGUAACUUCGGGAGAAGGCACGCUGACACGUAGGUGAAGUGAUUUACUCAUGGAGCUGAAGUCAGUCGAAGAUACCAGCUGGCUGCAACUGUUUAUUAAAAACACAGCACUGUGCAAACACGAAAGUGGACGUAUACGGUGUGACGCCUGCCCGGUGCCGGAAGGUUAAUUGAUGGGGUCAGCGCAAGCGAAGCUCCUGAUCGAAGCCCCGGUAAACGGCGGCCGUAACUAUAACGGUCCUAAGGUAGCGAAAUUCCUUGUCGGGUAAGUUCCGACCUGCACGAAUGGCGUAAUGAUGGCCAGGCUGUCUCCACCCGAGACUCAGUGAAAUUGAACUCGCUGUGAAGAUGCAGUGUACCCGCGGCAAGACGGAAAGACCCCGUGAACCUUUACUAUAGCUUGACACUGAACAUUGAGCCUUGAUGUGUAGGAUAGGUGGGAGGCUUUGAAGCGUGGACGCCAGUCUGCGUGGAGCCGACCUUGAAAUACCACCCUUUAAUGUUUGAUGUUCUAACGUGGACCCGUGAUCCGGGUUGCGGACAGUGUCUGGUGGGUAGUUUGACUGGGGCGGUCUCCUCCUAAAGAGUAACGGAGGAGCACGAAGGUUGGCUAAUCCUGGUCGGACAUCAGGAGGUUAGUGCAAUGGCAUAAGCCAGCUUGACUGCGAGCGUGACGGCGCGAGCAGGUGCGAAAGCAGGUCAUAGUGAUCCGGUGGUUCUGAAUGGAAGGGCCAUCGCUCAACGGAUAAAAGGUACUCCGGGGAUAACAGGCUGAUACCGCCCAAGAGUUCAUAUCGACGGCGGUGUUUGGCACCUCGAUGUCGGCUCAUCACAUCCUGGGGCUGAAGUAGGUCCCAAGGGUAUGGCUGUUCGCCAUUUAAAGUGGUACGCGAGCUGGGUUUAGAACGUCGUGAGACAGUUCGGUCCCUAUCUGCCGUGGGCGCUGGAGAACUGAGGGGGGCUGCUCCUAGUACGAGAGGACCGGAGUGGACGCAUCACUGGUGUUCGGGUUGUCAUGCCAAUGGCACUGCCCGGUAGCUAAAUGCGGAAGAGAUAAGUGCUGAAAGCAUCUAAGCACGAAACUUGCCCCGA